Molecule: unclassified non-coding RNA, 329 nt
Filed under: soil metagenome
Description: partial contains 5.8S ribosomal RNA, internal transcribed spacer 2, and large subunit ribosomal RNA
Rfam family: 5.8S ribosomal RNA (bases 1-120)
Source: RNAcentral
GAUGAAGAACGUAGCGAAAUGCGAUAAGUAAUGUGAAUUGCAGAAUUCAGUGAAUCAUCGAAUCUUUGAACGCACAUUGCGCUCCCUGGUAUUCCGGGGAGCAUGCCUGUUCGAGCGUCAUUACAACCCUCAAGCUCUGCUUGGUCUUGGGCGUCACCGGUCCCCGGUGUGCCUUAAAAUCAGUGGCGGCGCCAUCUGGCUCUAAGCGUAGUACAUACUCUCGCUACAGACGUCCGGUGGAUGCUGGCCAGCAACCCCCAAUUUAUCAAGGUUGACCUCGGAUCAGGUAGGGAUACCCGCUGAACUUAAGCAUAUCAAUAAGCGGAGGA